GACGGAGGAUGCAAGCGUUAUCCGGAAUGAUUGGGCGUAAAGCGUCCGCAGGUGGCAGUUCAAGUCUGCUGUCAAAGACCGGGGCUUAACUUCGGAAAGGCAGUGGAAACUGAACAGCUAGAGUGUGGUAGGGGUAGAGGGAAUUCCCGGUGUAGCGGUGAAAUGCGUAGAGAUCGGGAAGAACAUCGGUGGCGAAGGCGCUCUACUGGACCACAACUGACACUCAGGGACGAAAGCUAGGGGAGCGAAUGGG
Molecule: ribosomal RNA, 253 nt
Filed under: uncultured bacterium
Lineage: Bacteria
Description: partial 16S ribosomal RNA
Rfam family: Bacterial small subunit ribosomal RNA
Source: RNAcentral